Molecule: long non-coding RNA, 1799 nt
Organism: Eptatretus burgeri (inshore hagfish)
Lineage: Eukaryota; Metazoa; Chordata; Myxini; Myxiniformes; Myxinidae
Source: Ensembl
CACUGUACAGGACAGUGUGGACGAUAUGGAGGUAGCUGUUACGGAUACCUGGAAAAAAAAAAAAGGCCAAAAACGGUCAAAUGUUGAUGCCUUUGAUUCGAAGGAGCAGAAUUAGGUCCAGAUCGUGUCAGGCUCGGCGGACCCUCGAGGAACGUCUGACAUUGGAAACCCUUUGGUGGUGCCGGAGUCGUGUGCGGAUGUGGAAACUUCGCUUGUUCCACUGGCCGACUCCGAGCGGGACACAGAGAACGGUCCAACUUGUCUGUUUAUUUGUUCAUCUCUUCAGACGUUGAUGGAACUCCUCUAUUUACUUUUCUUUCCAAGCCUUCAAGUUAAUCAGCCACCUUUUGAUUUUACCAAGGAAUGAGACUUUCCAAAAGCAUCGGCCUCACCUGGGGCUUCUUGACAUUGCUAGGUCUUGCUUUGGGGGAAACCACAUCGAAGGGUGAUCCUUCUAUGUGUUCAUGGUUUUCAACUAUUCGCAGGCAACGUGUAAGUAAUAUACCUGUGGCUGUAGUUGGAGGCUUACAAACUUUAACUCCUUCAUACAGGUUUUGGAAAAUGCUCCGCAUGGUAGCGUACAGUAAGCAGCCAAGUGCCAGGCAGAAGUGUGCUAUGGUGGCCCGUAGACCAGCACGAUCAGUGGGUCCCAGCCUUGCAGUGAUACGGACAUUCUGGGACUCCAAGUCACCAAAUGCACCUCGUCCACCUCUUUAUGAAUAUCGCCACCCAAAGGAAGACAAGUCGAUGAUGUAUUUUCAGUUGCCGGAUGUGUGGCUCACUGAGAUGACCCCUUUGAGAGAAGGGUAUGGGAGCGAUUCCAUCAUCUGGGGACCCACUGCUACAGCUGAAUAUCCUACUGCCUCUCGUGCAAGCCCAACAGUUAACCCGCAGGACACAACGGGCCCAUUUCCUGUUGACAACCCUGAAAUGGUUAGCCAAGAUGAUGAGAUGGAGGGGAAUCGUCCAAGCAUCAAUCCCACAACUCCACUACCACCAUCACCAGUAUUGCCAGAUUGGAGGCGUCACACAGAUUUGAAUGUGAACGACUCUAAUAAGGCUGUUGGACUCACGGCACGGCAAGUUACCACCAUUGCCAGCAUCUGCUCCAUAAGCUUUGUGGUCAUUGCUGCUGCAGUCGUGCUUCGUACCAGCUGGGUUCGGUCACGGAACCAUUUGCGGCAUUCAUUACAACGACGCGACGGUGGUGGCAUUGAGGAGACAUGCCCUGUGACUCUGUCAUCACCAUCCAGCCGAAAGCCGCCAGCUGUGCCACCAAUUUUCACAACAUAUAGUGAUAUUGGUGUGGCGAUGUCACCUCCACAGCCAUCGCAGCCACCAUCCUGUGUCCUCUCAUCACCUGUUAUAAUCACAACAGCAUCCGACAUUGCACCUAGACUGUAUGACGGGAGAAGAAUUCCUCUGUACACUGUCUCCACCACCACUACUGUCGCCUCUGUUGCUCCUACCUUGACAUCGGCUUCAUUUCCACAGCUCCUGCCGGGAAGUCUUCACGGACCACCCAUCGCUAAAACAGCCUACAACGGCAGCAGGUUCGUCGCGCGGACGCGGGGCGGGCGUGGCGCGGCGCUGGGGGGGGCAUCAGCCACAGCCACGACGCCAGCGCGCGUCUUUCGUGCGAGAGCCGAGGUACACUGUGAUCCUGAGCUAACGUAGGCCUGGUGGGCCGGCCAGCCGCAACGAAGCGCUCCUGGCCAGGUGAGGCCUGCUUCCUGCAUACCCAAUACUGCCUUACUCCCUGCUUCCCAAAAUGAUUUGGUCCUGCUUCAGAAUUUCCA